UCAGGACGAACGGCUGGCGGCGUGCCUAAUACAUGCAAGUCGAACGGUCUUUCUAUGGAAGCUUGCUUCCACUGAGAAGAUAGUGGCGAACGGGUGAGUAACACGUGGGUAACCUGCCCAUAAGAGGGGGGAUAACAUCCGGAAACGGGUGCUAAUACCGCAUAGUUUUCUUGAUCGCAUGAUUGAGAAAGGAAAGACGGCCUUUGUGCUGUCGCUUAUGGAUGGACCCGCGGCGUAUUAGUUAGUUGGUGAGGUAACGGCUCACCAAGACGAUGAUACGUAGCCGACCUGAGAGGGUGAUCGGCCACAUUGGGACUGAGACACGGCCCAAACUCCUACGGGAGGCAGCAGUAGGGAAUCUUCCGCAAUGGACGAAAGUCUGACGGAGCAACGCCGCGUGAGUGAAAGAAGGUUUUCGGAUCGUAAAACUCUGUUGUCAGAGAAGAACAAGUUGGAGAGUAACUGCUCCAGCCUUGACGGUAUCUGACCAGAAAGCCACGGCUAACUACGUGCCAGCCGCCGC
RNAcentral lists this ribosomal RNA (523 nucleotides) under uncultured bacterium. Its description in RNAcentral is "bacterial SSU rRNA". It matches the Rfam family "Bacterial small subunit ribosomal RNA", at positions 24 to 518 of the family's 1533-position model. The record is from RNAcentral.